CAGGAGGGACGAAGGUUCAGGCGCGAACAGCGUCCUGGACUGACGGUACCUCCAGAAGAAGACCCCGGCUAACUACGUGCCAGCAGCCGCGGUAAUACGUAGGGGGCUAGCGUUGUCCGGAAUCAUUGGGCGUAAAGCGCGCGUAGGCGGCCCGGUAAGUCCGCUGUAAAAAGUCAAAGGCUCAACCUUUGAAUGUCAGUGGAUACUGCCGGGCUAGAGUCCGGAAGAGGCGAGUGGAAUUCCUGGUGUAGCGGUGGAAUGCGCAGAUAUCAGGAGGAACACCAACGGCGAAGGCAGCUCGCUGGGACGGUACUGACGCUGAGGCGCGAAAGCGUGGGGAGCAAACAGGAUUAGAUACCCUGGUAGUCCACGCCGUAAACGAUGGGCACUAGGUGUGGGAGGUGUCGACUCCUCCCGUGCCGGCGCUAACGCAUUAAGUGCCCCGCCUGGGGAGUACGGCCGCAAGGCUA
RNAcentral lists this ribosomal RNA (470 nucleotides) under uncultured Actinomycetes bacterium. RNAcentral describes it as "bacterial SSU rRNA". It matches the Rfam family "Bacterial small subunit ribosomal RNA", at positions 434 to 896 of the family's 1533-position model. Lineage: Bacteria; Bacillati; Actinomycetota; Actinomycetes. The record is from RNAcentral.